Non-coding RNA from Tinamus guttatus (white-throated tinamou), 172 nucleotides. Lineage: Eukaryota; Metazoa; Chordata; Aves; Tinamiformes; Tinamidae. The record is from RefSeq and is a predicted model, not a curated record.
GGAACGAAGAUUUGGGCUGAACAGCAUACAGGAUGCAAUUCAUUUCAUGUCAUACAUUUAAUUUGAUCUUAUUUAUUCAACUCAUAUUGAAACAGAUGCUGUCCUGUGGUGUUGCCAGAAAUACAAUGGUUGAUCACUUGUAAGUUUUAAUACAUAGAAUUUUUCUUUACAU